This is a long non-coding RNA of Cornus florida, 770 nucleotides long. RefSeq lists it as uncharacterized. The record is from RefSeq and is a predicted model, not a curated record. NCBI's taxonomy places the organism in Eukaryota, Viridiplantae, Streptophyta, Magnoliopsida, Cornales, Cornaceae. The transcript has 3 exons.
UUCGGUGAGGAUCUUAAUACGCUGUAUCAGUUAUCCUCUUGGAUCUAAUUUAAUUUGGAUUGUUAGUGAUUUUAAUAUCUUUUUGGUGUCUGGUAGAUUACUUGUAGGAUUGUUGCAAAGGAAGCACAAUAUAUGGAUUCAGGGGUAGUGGACCUGCUGGGAUCAUGAAAUGCAAAUAUGUGGAGCUGAACUCGCAGUUUAUUUACCCAUAUAGAAAUCAGGGUGGCUUUGAUAUAUAUGAUCCGUAGUGGAACAGACAAAAUUGAAACCCCAGAACAGUUUAAGCAAGCUGAAGAAACGGCAUUAAAACUUGAUUUGGAUGGGCAUGUUGUAAUUGGUGGGGACGACUCGAAUAAAAAUGCUGGCCUCCUUGCCGAAAAAGUUAGGUCAAUUCUUUAUUUUCUAUAUCAAAACUCUGGUUGUUUUUUGUUUUAAAUUUUACUUUUGUUUUCUAUGAAUUUUUUAAAAUUGGAUUAUUGAUUUGUACUUUUUGUAGUUGUAAUGCACUCCUACUGGUCUGAUAUUACUUGUUGCAUUGUAUUCAGGAUUAAAAAUUUGAAAACUCAAGUGAUUGGAUGCCCUAAGACCAUUGAUGGGGAUUUGAAAUGCAAAGUCUAUCGGAAGUACUAACCCCACCAGACAAUCGAGUCAUCUGCGAGUCUCUUCUUUUUUGACGAUUUGAGCGAACUAAGGCCAAACAAGCCAAGUGCCAACAUUGACCAAAUUCAACAUGAGAAUUGAUAAGUUGAUUCACAUCUCGAUAUAUUAUA